GGGCAGGUAGCCCUCAUUAAACAGACCACUGCUUGACCCUCAACACGGAGCUCUGUCUCGUUCUUGGGGGGAUUUACUGUAUGCUGAUAGAGACUGAUUGCUAGGAGUGUAAGCUGCUUGGGUGCUUUUCCUAUUCGUCUGCUAGCAGCUAUUCGUGAGGUUCCAGUUCGGGAGUUUGGAGUGCUAUUUUGUAUGCAGUUCGGGAGUUUGGAGCAUUCCCUUACAUGCGGUUCGGG
Molecule: non-coding RNA, 236 nt
Organism: Pelobates cultripes (western spadefoot toad)
Lineage: Eukaryota; Metazoa; Chordata; Amphibia; Anura; Pelobatidae
Source: the annotation of a GenBank genome assembly